This is a non-coding RNA of Pelobates cultripes (western spadefoot toad), 404 nucleotides long. The record is from the annotation of a GenBank genome assembly. Lineage: Eukaryota; Metazoa; Chordata; Amphibia; Anura; Pelobatidae.
CACAUAUUACUAGAUGCAGGCUUGAAGGCUUUAUGCCACAGCUAUUAAGCGCUGACACAGCACUACAGCUGUUUACUAAGCUGACACAGCACUUCAGCAGUUUGAGAAUCUUCUGUUGCCAUCAAAAACUUAUGUUGCCAUCUCUAGAACAGUACAAAGAAAGCUUGUAAAUAAGAGAUAAUUAACCGCACAAGAUUUGGCAUAGGUUCUGGUGGUCCUGAACAGUCUGGCCAACUGCCAGGUCCAUCCAGCUGCUUGUAUCAAGGUCUUUUGCUGGGCUGCACUGAUAAGGAACUACUGAUUGUCCUUGAAGACAGGUGUAUAUAAGACUAAGGAAAUCUUGCGCUCACUUGGAGAACUACCCACCUGCAAUGCGGACGCGUGUUACUGGUUUCUGCUAUUCC